CUGAGCCAGUUCACAAUGCCAAGGACUGAUAACAAGAAGACUCUUUCCUACAUCUCAGUGGCUGUGACUGUAACGCCUCCAGGAACAGUUUCCAGGCUGUACCUCCACAUGGAUUAUGUUUGCCCCAAGAUGAUGGCUGAGGACACCAGGGCCAGAAGCACCGCCUUUCCCAAGGCUCUUAGAUUCAGGAUCCUGAGCUGUCUCUGUCAGGGACUGACGGUAGGCAGACAAACCAUCACAUUUACCAGAUGUUCACAGGAAAUAGAAUGAUAUUCUAGGUGUUUGGGAGAACCUGAUAAAAAGACAGAUGUGAUCAGUGUCUGAAGAGAGGUGUCAAUGCAACAAACUGCAGAAGAAUAUAAGGACUUCAAUUCAUCUUUACUUCAGGGAAGGUUGAAAACUUUUAGACACACAUAUAACUGUAAUAGGG
RNAcentral lists this long non-coding RNA (430 nucleotides) under Monodelphis domestica (gray short-tailed opossum). RNAcentral's name for it is "lncRNA (ENSMODG00000035147.2)". The record is from RNAcentral. Lineage: Eukaryota; Metazoa; Chordata; Mammalia; Didelphimorphia; Didelphidae.